This is a small nuclear RNA of Diceros bicornis minor, 191 nucleotides long. RefSeq annotates it as U2 spliceosomal RNA. The transcript has a single exon. The record is from RefSeq and is a predicted model, not a curated record. Lineage: Eukaryota; Metazoa; Chordata; Mammalia; Perissodactyla; Rhinocerotidae.
GUUGUUUCUUUGGUUUUUGGCCCAAGAUCAAGAAGAGUGUCUGUUCUUAUCAUUGAAUAUCUCAUAAAUCCUCUACCUGAGGACACUUUAUCAAGUGGAUUUUUGGAACAGGGAGAUUGAAUAGAGGCUUGCUCCAUCCAUUCCACAAGCCAACCUGAUGUCACAGUCCCUCCAUGAAUGGUGUGGCUCUU